Molecule: long non-coding RNA, 1626 nt
Organism: Sceloporus undulatus (fence lizard)
Lineage: Eukaryota; Metazoa; Chordata; Lepidosauria; Squamata; Phrynosomatidae
Exons: 7
Source: RefSeq, a predicted model, not a curated record
CACGGACAAGGCGGGCGGGCGGGGAGUGGACGGCCCGCAGACGGAAAAGGCCGCGAAGGGCCUUCUGGGUUGUGCUUUGCCUUUCUUUAUGGUGACUUGAGCUGCAUCUGCACUACAAAGACAAUCCAGUUUGAUAUCACUUUAACUGAACAUGCCCAGCACCUUCAUCCUCCCCUCAUAUAUUUUGUUUUCCAUACAUAUCGUCUCUGGAGGUAUCCCUCCUAAUUCAGUUACAUUUGCACAUUUGGUUCCUUCCCUUUCAUGCUGGAGCACGGAGGGAGAAGCAACAGGAUGCAUCAUCAUUUCCUUCAAAAUAUUAUGGCUGGCAAACGGACCCCCAAUAAAUCAGAAGACCUCCUAGGACUGCCGUAGGAAAAGGCACUGACAAUAGGAUGAUCAGGAGUUGGAAUGAUGAGCUGGCACGUUCCUCACGUCUACGCUGCUGAAGUCCACUUUAAAUAAAAGAUGAGUGACAACAUGUGGCCUUUGAAUUGUUAUCUGAGACAACGACGAUGGCAAUAAAGCAGGAACAACGACAAUAACAACGUACACCAUUGCUUCUAGGAAAAGAAAUGAUCCAUUUGGCGCCUUUCAUUUGGCUGGAAAUGAAGAUGAAUCAGGGAGGGAUGAAGGCACUUCGUUGGACAAAUAAAUCACAAAGUCGGGAAGGACCUGGAGGCCCCCAGAGGAACCCAAGGCGGAGGGACGGGGCAGAAAGGCAAGGAUUUCGCUAUUAUUUAUUUCAUUUGUACGCCGCCUUUCUCCCAGAAGGCACUCCAGGCGGUUCACAGAUUUCAUGACAAUAAGAUCCGGGUCGACUACAAGAGGCCGAGCCGAGGAGGAGGGCGGCCUUGGUCUUCUCUGGGUUUUCCAGGCUCUGGGGUCUUCCUUUUCAUUCAAUGCAGUUUUCUUCCUCUUUGAAACCGUUGCUUACAGAGGGAGAACGGGAGGAGAAAACGAGGCCACAGAUAACGAAAUCAACGCAGAAGACUGUAGUCAUCAUCAUCAUCAUCAUCAUCAUCAUCAUCAUCAUCAUCAUCAUCAUCAUAACAGUAACGAAAUUCCCGGCUUCACCCCCCUUUUAGUUUGGAUUUCAAUCGGUGCAGAAAAGCCUUCCCAGAAUGGCAGGGUUUUUGUCCACGCAGAGUUCCAGCCCGGCGUUCUGCUAAAAGUAACGCGUUUUGAACGUGCUUCCCCCCCUCAGGACAUACACGUGUCUGUGUGUGUGCACGUCUGUAUGCAUACCUCUGGCUCUCCCUUCCAGUGAGGAGACCUUUCCAAGGGGAAGAAGAAGGCAGGAGAAGAGGAGACACCCCCUCCCUCCCCAUCUGACUCCUUCUCUCUAUCCUUACUUUAAUAUUGCCCUGGGCUGCAUCCUCACUGCAGAAAUAAUCCGGUUUGACACCGCUUUAGCUCUCAUGGCUCAGUGCUAGGGAAUGCUGGGAAUGGCAGCAGAGCAAAGUCUGCCUAUCUAACUUUCAUCUACAACUGUCUUCUACAACUGUAUCUACUCGAUCCUUCCUUAUCUAUCUAGCUAUCUUUCUAUCCAUCCAUCCACCCAUCGGUAUUAUUUACCUAUCUAUCCAUCCUUAUACUAUCUAUCUGUCUGUCUGUCCGUCCGUCCGU